RNAcentral lists this long non-coding RNA (1150 nucleotides) under Apteryx rowi (Okarito brown kiwi). RNAcentral describes it as "lncRNA (ENSARWG00000012219.1)". The record is from RNAcentral. Lineage: Eukaryota; Metazoa; Chordata; Aves; Apterygiformes; Apterygidae.
AUGGCGGCCACCAUGAUCUUGUACUCGCCCUUCCCCGCGUUGCGGCCCAGCGCCAGCUGCAGCCCCGCCAGGUCGGCCAGGUCCACCGUGGCCUUCAUGAACUCCUGCCACCGUCACCGACGGCGUCACCGUCACCGGCAACGUCACUACCAACGGCCCCAACACCACCACCAACACCCGCAGCCCCAGCAAUGUCCCCCCAAGGUCACUGUGGCCUUCAUGAACUCCUGUCACCGUCACCAACAGCGUCACCAUCACCAACGACAGCCCCAAAAACACCCCCAGCCCCAGCAACACCCCCCCAGGUCCACCAUGGCCUUCAUGAACUCCUGCCACCAUCACCAACAACGUCACCAUCACCGACAAUGUCACCGUCACCGACGACGGCCCCAGCACCACCACCACCACCCGCAGCCCCACCAACGUCCCCAGCAACGUCCCCCCAGGGCCACCGUGGCCUUCAUGAACUCCUGUCACCGUCACCGACAGCGUCACCGCCACCAACAACGUCACUGUCACCAACAGCAACCCCAACAACACCCCCAGCCCCAGCAACGUCCCCCCAGGUCCACCGUGGCCUUCAUGAACCCCUGUCACCGCCACUGACGAUGUCACCGUCACCAACAACAUCACCGUCACCACCACCACCACCCGCAGCCCCACCAACGUCCCCAGCAACCUCCCCCCAGGACCACCGUGGCCUUCAUGAACUCCUGCCACCGUCACCAACAGCGUCACCGUCACCGACAACAGCCCCAACAACACCCCCAGCCCCAGCAACGUCCCCCCAGGGCCACCGUGGCCUUCAUGAACUCCUGUCACCGUCACCGACGGCAUCACCGUCACCAACAACAACCCCAACAACACCCUCACCACUGCCAACAUCCCCCCAGGUCUACCAUGGCCUUCAUGAACUCCUGCCACCAUCACCAAUGAUGUCACCGUCACCGACAAUGUCACCGUCACCACCCACAACCCCAGCAACCUCCCCCCAGGUCCACGGUGGCCUUCACGAGCCCCUGUCACCGUCACCAACAACGUCGCUGUCCCCAAGGCCACCAGCGUCCCCACCAACGCCACCGACCCCGGCACCACAAACGCCCCCGUUGUCACCAGCGCCAAAGCCAACGUCACCGCCACCGAGACGCCA